AGAGUUUGAUCCUGGCUCAGGAUGAACGCUGGCGGCGUGCUUAACACAUGCAAGUCGAACGUGAAGCCAGGUGCUUGCACCGGGUGGAAAGUGGCGAACGGGUGAGUAACACGUUGGUGACCUGCNCCGAGGAGGGGAAUAACCGUGGGAAACUACGGCUAAUGCCCCGGAUGUUCACGGUGUUAGAGGCUGUGAACUAAAGUUCCGGCGCCUCGGGAGGGGCCUGCGGGCUAUCAGCUAGUUGGUGAGGUAACGGCUCACCAAGGCCAAGACGGCUAGGGGGCGUGAGAGCGUGGCCCCCCACAAUGGAACUGAGACACGGUCCAUACUCCUACGGGAGGCAGCAGUGAGGAAUAUUGCCCAAUGGGGGAAACCCUGAGGCAGCAACGCCGCGUGGAUGAAGAAGGCUUUCGGGUCGUAAAAUCCUUUUCUGAGGGAAGAAGGAUGACGGUACCUCAGGAAUAAGUUCCGGCUAACUACGUGCCAGCAGCCGCGGUAAAACGUAGGGGACAAGCGUUAUCCGGAUUUAACUGGGCGUAAAGCGCGCGUAGGCGGCGCGGCAAGUUGGAANUGAAAGCUCCUGGCUUAACUGGGAGAGGUCGUUCAAAACUGCCGGGCUAGAGAU
Molecule: ribosomal RNA, 625 nt
Filed under: uncultured bacterium
Lineage: Bacteria
Description: bacterial SSU rRNA
Rfam family: Bacterial small subunit ribosomal RNA
Source: RNAcentral